GACGAACGCUGGCGGCGUGCUUAACACAUGCAAGUCGAACGGAAAGGCCCUGCUUUUGUGGGGUGCUCGAGUGGCGAACGGGUGAGUAACACGUGAGUAACCUGCCCUUGACUUUGGGAUAACUUCAGGAAACUGGGGCUAAUACCGGAUAGGAGCUCCUGCUGCAUGGUGGGGGUUGGAAAGUUUCGGCGGUUGGGGAAGGACUCGCGGCUUAUCAGCUUGUUGGUGGGGUAGUGGCUUACCAAGGCUUUGACGGGUAGCCGGCCUGAGAGGGUGACCGGCCACAUUGGGACUGAGAUACGGCCCAGACUCCUACGGGAGGCAGCAGUGGGGAAUAUUGCACAAUGGGCGGAAGCCUGAUGCAGCAACGCCGCGUGCGGGAUGACGGCCUUCGGGUUGUAAACCGCUUUCGCCUGUGACGAAGCGUGAGUGACGGUAAUGGGUAAAGAAGCACCGGCUAACUACGG
This 467-nucleotide ribosomal RNA is filed under the name uncultured bacterium. RNAcentral's name for it is "partial 16S ribosomal RNA". It matches the Rfam family "Bacterial small subunit ribosomal RNA", at positions 28 to 506 of the family's 1533-position model. The record is from RNAcentral.